This is an RNA transcript of Ochotona princeps (American pika), 6027 nucleotides long. It is a transcript of the gene named TSC22 domain family member 1, with no coding region annotated. The transcript has 3 exons. Lineage: Eukaryota; Metazoa; Chordata; Mammalia; Lagomorpha; Ochotonidae. The record is from RefSeq and is a predicted model, not a curated record.
CUCGCUUUUCCUGCCCUCUCCUCCUCUCCCCUCUCCUGCUCUCCCCCCUCUCCUGCCCCUCACCCCACGUGAAGCGGAAUAUAAAGGGGGGUGUGAGACUAGAGGGAAAGUGAAUGGCGAAGGACUGAGGGGGGUGGUCCCCCUUCGGGUCCCCGGCCGCCCUGUUCACCCUCGUUCAUCCUCCCUUUCCGAAGCUCGCCCGCGAAGGCAGGAGGAGCUGCCGGCGCCUUCGGCUGAGGAGGAGGAGGAGGAGGAGGAGGAGAAGAAGGAGGACUCGCGCCGGGAGGAGCGUCAGGUCCCGUUUUCCUCUCCGGCGUCUCGUCUCGAAUACAAAGAUUACGGUGCAGAAGGAAAUUGCACUCGCCUCCUCCGCCCCCCGGUACCCGACACAAUGCACCAGCCGCCCGAGGCCGCCGCCGCGGCAGCCGCCGCAGACAUUAGUGCUAGGAAGAUGGCGCACCCGGCAAUGUUCCCUCGAAGGGGCAGCGGUGGUGGCAGCGCCUCUGCUCUCAGUGCAGCAGGUACCGGCGUCGGGAGUACUGCCACAGCCUCCGAGGAUUUUCCGCCGCCCUCGCUUCUCCAGCCGCCGCCUCCUGCAGCAUCUUCCUCGUCGGGACCACAGCCUCCGCCUCCACAAAGCCUGAACCUCCUUCCGCAGGCUCAGCUGCAGGCACAGCCUCUUGCGCCAGGCGGAACUCAAAUGAAAAAGAAAAGUGGCUUCCAGAUAACUAGCGUCACUCCGGCUCAGAUCUCCGCCAGUAUCAGCUCCAACAACAGUAUCGCGGAGGACACUGAGAGCUAUGAUGAUCUGGAUGAAUCUCACACGGAAGACCUCUCUUCCUCCGAGAUCCUUGAUGUAUCACUAUCCAGGGCUACUGACUUAGGGGAGCCUGAACGCAGCUCCUCAGAAGAGACUCUGAAUAACUUCCAGGAAGCCGAGACACCUGGGGCAGUCUCUCCUAAUCAGCCCCACCUUCCUCAACCUCAUUUGCCUCACCUUCCCCAACAGAAUGUUGUGAUCAAUGGGAAUGCUCAUCCACACCACCUCCAUCACCAUCACAUUCAUCAUGGGCACCACCUCCACCAUGGGCACCACCAUCCAUCCCAUGCUGCUGUGGCCAGUGCAUCCAUUCCUGGAGGACCACCCUCAAGCCCAGUAUCCAGAAAACUCUCCACAACUGGAAGCUCUGAUGGUGUUGCACCAGUUGCACCAGCUUCUGCUGUAUCAUCGAGCGUCUCACCUGCAUCUGUAAUGACUAAUAUCCGGGCUCCUAGCACUGCAGGCGGGAUAGGUAUAAAUUCUGUUGCUGGCGCUAAUACAGUGAAUAAUGUCAGUGUUGCUGCUGUGGGUAGUUUCAGUCCUAAUGUGACAAGCGGUAUGCUGGGUAGUGCUAAUAUAAGUGCAAGCAAUAUUCCUAGUGCUGCUAGUGUGAGUGUUGGGCCUGGAGUUCCUAGUGGUGUAAAUGUGAGUAUCUUGAGUGGCAUGGGCAAUGGGACUGUGUCUUCUGCCACGGCUGUUAACAGUGUCCCCGGUGCAGCCCCGGGGAUGACUGUGGGAUUGGUUUCAAGUCAGCAGCAACAACCAACAGUUAACACGUCAAGGUUCAGAGUUGUGAAGUUAGAUUCUAGUUCGGAGCCUUUUAAAAAAGGCAGAUGGACCUGCACUGAGUUCUAUGAAAAAGAAAAUACUGUACCUGCUACUGAAGGCGUGGCGAUCAAUAAGGUGGUGGAGACUGUAAAACAAAACCCGGUGGAAGUAUCUUCUGAGAGAGAGAGCACGAGUGGGAGCUCUGUGAGCAGUAGUGUCAGCACUCUGAGUCACUACACGGAGAGUGUAGGAAGUGGAGAGAUGGGAACCCCUACAGCGGGGGCACAGCAGCAGCCGCUGCAGGUACCAGCUCAGCAAGGGGUAGGCCUCCAACCCAUGGAUUUCAGUAGCACUGGGCCCCCGAGUUUUUCUCAGUCACAGAUGUCGCAAGUACAAUUACAGUCUCAAGAACUGAGUUAUCAGCAAAAGCAAGGUCUUCAGCCAGUACCUCUGCAAGCCACCAUUAAUGCUGCAACUAGUAUCCAGCCAGCACCUGUGAAUGUGGUUGGUGUAACUUCAGCUUUAGGUCAGCAACCUUCCAUUUCUAGUCUGGCUCAACCCCAACUGCCAUAUUCCCAGGCGGCUCCCCCAGUGCAAACUCCUCUUCCAGGGGCAGCACCGCAGCAGUUGCAAUAUGGACAACACCAAGCAAUGGUUUCUACGCAGUUGGCCCCGGGCCAUGGUCAACCGGUGACUCAGAAUCCUACUUCAGAGUUUGUGCAACAGCAGCCGAUCCUUCAGACAGCAAUGUCCUCUGGCCAGCCCAGUUCUGCAGGAGUGGGAGCAGGAACAACAGUGAUUCCUGUGGCUCAGCCCCAGGGUGUCCAGCUGCCAGUGCAGCCCACAGCAGUCCAAGCACAGCCUGCAGGGGCAGCGGGCCAACCUGUUGGCCAGGCUCCGACAGCAGUGUCUGCUGUACCUGCUGGCAGUCAAAUUGCAAAUAUUGGUCAACAGGCAAACAUACCUGCAGCAGUGCAGCAGUCCUCUGCCCAAGUUACACCUUCAGUUAUUCAGCAAGGUGCUCCUCCAUCUUCACAAGUAGUUCCACCUGCUCAAACUGGGAUUCUUCAUCAGGGAGUUCAAACUAGCGCUCCAAGCCUUCCUCAACAAUUGGUUAUUACACCCCAGAGUACCUUGUUAACUGUGCCUCCCCAGCAAGGAGUAGAACCAGUAGCUCAAGGAGUUGUUUCACAGCAGUUGCCUGCAGUUAGUCCUUUGCCCUCUGCUAGUAGUAUUUCUGUUACAAAUCAGGUUAGUUCAACUGGUCCUUCUGGAAUGCCUUCUGCCCCAACAAACUUGGUUCCACCACAGAAUAUAGCACAAACCCCUGCCACUCAAAAUGGUAAUUUGGUUCAAUGUGUUAGCCAACCUCCCUUGAUAGCAACUAAUAUAAAUUUGCCCUUGGCACAGCAGAUACCACUAAGUUCUACUCAGUUCUCUGCACAAUCGUUAGCUCAGGCCAUUGGAAGCCAAAUUGAAGAUGCCAGGCGUCCAGCGGAGCCCUCAUUAGUUGGCUUACCUCAGACUAUCAGUGGUGACAGUGGGGGAAUGUCGGCAGUUUCAGAUGGGAGUGGCAGCAGCCUAGCAGCCUCUGCUUCUCUUUUCCCGUUGAAGGUGCUACCGCUGACGACACCCCUGGUGGAUGGUGAAGAUGAGAGCUUUUGCUAUAUUCCAAACUGGCUGCCAGAGCCAGGAACAAGUGAAGGCAUAAAACCCUAACUUUGGUUGAUUGCUACCUUCUUAGUGCUGAGAUAAAACCCUUGUUGGUUGGUUGAUAGAGAUCAAGAGAGCACAAGCCUCGUUCCACUAACAGCUCUCUAUUUCAGUGCUUCUCUCCUACCAGAGGUGCAAGGAGUGAUCCUAGAACCACAGAUUCAGCCAAGACCACGGAGAGCUUUUGACGUCAGGGGUCCACUUUCUCUACUGAACCCUUGGAGACAGAAUAUCCAGCUUCUGGAGAGAGUGGGAAAGGAUAAUAAACAAGUGGGUGCUUUCCAUUAUUUACUUGGGUUUAUUUAUCGAUUGGAGUGUCCUUCCAUUGCCCAUUCUAUUAGUAAACUCCUUGGGUUCAUGUAAGAACCAGGUGGGGAUGCAGUUUGUCUUUCUAAGAGUGCUAACUAGUACCCAUUCAAAAAGAAACCUGAAAUUCAUUAAAUUUUCUCUCCAGACAGUUAAAGCAGUGGAUGAUUUGGGCAUGUCAUUUGGUAAAUACCUAUGUAGUCCACAGGAAUUUUAAAAAGGAAAUAUUUACCUGUUUUGGCCUUUAUGGUAUUAGUGGACUUUUAAAGUACUCUUAUAUUUCUGUAAUUUAAUACUUUUUCAUUUUUUGGGCAAACAAGACAUCUGGUCUGUUAAUUUAUGUGAUCAGAUGUCCAGGUAUUAUACUACACUGUUAGAGAACUUUUUGGUCCUUUUCCUACCCCGAAUGUUAGGACUUCAUGUUUGAUAUGUUAAGAGAUAUAAUGAUUGUACCAUCAUGAUUUUACUGUCAAAUCUAGGCUUCAUUCUUUUAUAGAAUAAAUAUGUAUGAAUAUGUUUCAGGAUAUAAUAAUCCUGAAAGCUAUAUUUAAUAUACUCAAAAGUCAUUUUUCUAGUCCCUAGGGGAUAAUAUUUGUGGCAAAAGAGCCUAUCCCCUAGAUUUUCCCUAUGGUAUUAAGAUUGUUUGCUCUUAGUUUCUCUGAUGCUGAGGGUAGGAUUUGAUUCCAGGAAGUUCUUAUCAUCUGCAGUGGGUAGAAUGUAAACUUGGUGCCUUUGGCAAGUUUUCAUUUUUCCUUGGUGGAUUCCUUCUGUGACUCCAGGUAUCUUGAUAAUGGGAGACCGGUUUAUUCUCUAAUUGCCCAGAUUUCUUUCAACUGGUAAAACAUCAUACUUCUUCAGCAAAAGGAAUUCUUCUAGCAGAGCCUUCAUGGAUGAUAUCUGUCACACAUGCCAGCAUCUGCAGUGGAAGGCAGUGGUGAAUGGAUCCAUGCAGUAUGUCUAGAAGACACAAGAAUGAGCCAGCCACCUGAUCUUGUCAUUUAUAAACUUUUAAGAUUUACUCUGGUUUAUUUACUCUUGGUCUGAACAUGGAAAGGCUCAAGUAAUCUUUUCAUAUUGGAAUUUUACAUGGCCAUGAAAAUAUUUCUUUCUAUUCAGAAGACUGAAAUAGAGGAAGCUUGAGAGACUUCUUUAAAGCAGCUCUCUGUAUCUGUUCCAUUAAAAGAAUUUAUGACAUUGAAAAUCACCUUGAUAAAGUAGGCAAGUAGUAUAGGAAGUCCAGAGAACACAAAGAAAUGGUUUUUUGUUAACUUACACUGAAAAAAGCUGGUAAAUCAAAGGUGAACUUCUUAAUUAUUCCAAAAGUAUUUUUAAUAGUAGCCUGUGCUCUUUAGCUCAUCUUUUGCUGAUCUUGAGCCUUAUUCUUACUCUAUUUCUCAAAUCAACAAAAUCUAGUAUAGAAACACAAGAGACAUUUUAAAAGUAGCUUGGUCUGUCUUUUGAAGUCAUUAAUACCUGUUAUUGUUGAGGUAUUGUUCCACACUAAAGGCACAUUAAGAUUUGAAUGAUAGUGUCACAUAGCAGCAGUGAAUGUAGCAUUGAGGAUCAGUAGCAUUAGAAGAAGCUAAUGGGUGUAACUGAAUGUUAUGAAUUAGUUACCCAAACUCUCAAUAAUUGAUUGAAGCAGUUACCAAAAUGUUUUAUUUCUGUCUUUUAUAUCUUUUAACUGGUCAGUCAAAAGCUAUUAAACAAACUUUUCAAAGUAAUCUAAUGCUGCCAGUUUGUUUUAUUUUGAUACAAAUUUUAAGAAUGAAAUCAAUAAAUUACUAAUAUGACCGCAAGUAAGAUGUCUUAAAAAUCUCAAAGAUUUUUAGAAGCCACAUUUGCUAAAGUUCCUUACUUUUUCUUGGCUGUCCGCGAGAAAUACCUUUUCCUUAUCAAUUUAAAAAUUUUCUUAGUACUUAAAAGGAAGUUUAAAAGUUUAGUUUGAACUAAAAUUUUCCUGGAGAGUUCUGAAUUACAGCUUUUCAUUUCUGAUUCCUGUUAAAUGUUUAUUGAUUUACAAAUGAAAAAACAGCUGCCCAAAAUGUUAGAAAGAACUUGGGGAACUGAAAGUGAGAUUUACUUAGAAAUUAAGUUGGUUGAGUUCUUUGAACCACAGAACAAAACCAUUUUAUGGCCUGUGAGAUUAUUAGCUUUUUGUUUUAGCUUUGAAGAUGAAAAGUGAGUUAAUCUUUUAAUCUCAUGCUUUGAUGAAAUUUUAGCGUUGUUCUUUUAAAGUGUACAAAGGAAAUGUAAGUGCAUUUCUAUUUACCUCAUGCCACUAAAGCUAUUUAAAAGUGAAACAUUUUUGUAUAUUAUUGUGAACUGAUUUGUUUAUUUAAACUUUUAUUUUGAUGCAUUUUACUUUCAGUUUUUUUAUAUUUCGUGUCACAAUAUGCAUUUUUCGAUGUUUAUUUUAU